GGCCUUUUGGCUAAGAUCAAGUGUAGUAUCUGUUCUUAUCAGUUUAAUAUCUGAUAUGUGGGCCAUUGGCUCACACGAUAUUAAAUUUAUUUUUUAAGGGGGAGGGUCCACCACAAUAGCUUGCUAUUGGGCUCUCAUGCGUCGCCCAUGCCUUACACUAUCGCAAGGGCUGGGCGCACCCCACCAAACCUAGUUCAACUUUUUUAUAUUUUUAUUUUAGGUGAAUAAUUUUGCCAUAAAUGCUAAUUUCGUCUUUAAAUAUUUCGAUUGAAUGAAAUAUUUGCUUAUGCGCUUCCAUUCCGUAAAUUUCAUUGCACUACGUUGAGUUUACUAUUUUUUGUUAUAAGCACUUUAGUCCCACAUCGAGAGCCCUUAGCCCCUGAGUCUUAUCUUAUUAUUUCAUCUUAGUGCUUAGCCUUUUAAAUCAAAGUCCCACAUUGAUUCGGCAUCUCAGCCAUCAACUUGGAAUGUGUUGUGUAUCUUGGGAAGCUAAUUCUUCAACUGUCAUAAUCCCUCUCAACACUGUUGAGUUCAAAGAGAGUAUUAUAUAAGAUUUUCAUGGAUUGUGGGGAUAAUCAUGGAUUAAGGAAAACUAAUUCCGUAUACAUUGCAGAUUUUUGGACUGAAAGAUUGGCUCAAGGGAACUCUGUCCAAUGAUAGCUUGUUUAUCUUGGGGAGAAGCCAUCUCUUAGAUGCUUCAUUAGCUGCAGAAAAUCAAUAUCUCAAGGGGAAAUGUAUGACGCUGAGAUUAGAAGGAAGAAGAAGACAAUACAGAAUUAAUUUAAGUUAGUGGGGCACGUUGUGAGGUGAAAAUUGAGACCAAAGCACUUAUCUAGUGCCACAUUGAAGAAGCAUGAGGACGGAGAGGGUAGAGUUUACUAUAAGAUUAGGUAGGUUCAGCUUAAUUACAUAUUUUCUAACUAGGAUCACCCUUAGCAUUAUUUAACAAGUGUGUGCAAAAAGCAAGCAUCUGGAUCUAGAUAGGGUAUCCAGAUGCUUGCUUUUGUUUAUGUAUAUAUUAAAAUUGCAUGAACAGAGAGCUGUUAUUUUAUACACUUGGAUUUUAGAGUCUAAAGGUAAAUAAGCUGAAAUUGCACGGUAUUAAUGAAAAAGUUUUGUCUUGUUUACAAGUUUUAUUUCCAAAAUUUCAUUUUGAAUCAGCUGGGGGUGUUUUAUGAGCAGAAUUGGAGUAUGGAGCAAAGGUGAACUGUUGUACACUGCCAAACUUGAUAAGGCAGAAAUCUUAUAAGCAAAUUCCAGAAAAGUCUGGAUUCACAACUUAAGAAAGCAGUAACGAAGCUGGAGAUGUUUUACUCUUUCCAGAAUGGUUUGUUGGAGACAUGGAGUUACUGCUAUCUGAUCGAUCAAGAACACCAACUAGGCAAGGAAUCAAAUCUCAACGGAGGAAAGGGUGACAAGUAGCAACUAAUACUAUAACCAUGUCUUUCAUACAAAGGUGUGGUGUGCAAGUCCCACAUUGAGGAAACAAAAGCAACAUAACAGAAGCAUGUAUUAUAAGUAGUGCUUUCGAACUCAGUUUCAAAUUAAAAAGGGUCAGUUGGCUAACUAUGCCACGCUCGCUAUAUUCUAGUGGGUGCUGUAUGGCUAUCAAGACAUAUGGCUGACGUAAUUUGUGGAAACUACAGGGUUGGCUCGCUUAGCCGACCCUACA
Molecule: long non-coding RNA, 1672 nt
Organism: Lotus japonicus
Lineage: Eukaryota; Viridiplantae; Streptophyta; Magnoliopsida; Fabales; Fabaceae
Exons: 2
Source: RefSeq, a predicted model, not a curated record